RNAcentral lists this ribosomal RNA (415 nucleotides) under uncultured bacterium. RNAcentral's name for it is "bacterial SSU rRNA". It matches the Rfam family "Bacterial small subunit ribosomal RNA", at positions 8 to 421 of the family's 1533-position model. The record is from RNAcentral.
AGAGUUUGAUCCUGGCUCAGAUUGAACGCUGGCGGCAUGCUUUACACAUGCAAGUCGAACGGUAACAGGGAGCUUGCUCCGCUGACGAGUGGCGAACGGGUGAGUAAUGCAUCGGAACGUGCCUAUUUGUGGGGGAUAACGUAGCGAAAGUUACGCUAAUACCGCAUACGCCCUGAGGGGGAAAGCGGGGGAUUCGUAAGAACCUCGCGCAAUUAGAGCGGCCGAUGUCGGAUUAGCUAGUUGGUGGGGUAAAGGCUCACCAAGGCGACGAUCCGUAGCGGGUCUGAGAGGAUGAUCCGCCACACUGGGACUGAGACACGGCCCAGACUCCUACGGGAGGCAGCAGUGGGGAAUUUUGGACAAUGGGCGAAAGCCUGAUCCAGCCAUGCCGCGUGAGUGAAGAAGGCCUUCGUUG